This 253-nucleotide ribosomal RNA is filed under the name uncultured bacterium. RNAcentral's name for it is "partial 16S ribosomal RNA". It matches the Rfam family "Bacterial small subunit ribosomal RNA", at positions 524 to 776 of the family's 1533-position model. The record is from RNAcentral.
UACGGGGGGGGCAAGCGUUGUUCGGAAUUACUGGGCGUAAAGGGCUCGUAGGCGGCCAACUAAGUCAGACGUGAAAUCCCCAGGCUCAACCUGGGAACUGCGUCUGAUACUGGAUGGCUUGAAUUCGGGAGAGGGAUGCAGAAUUCCAGGUGUAGCGGUGAAAUGCGUAGAUAUCCGGAGGAACACCGGUGGCGAAGGCGGCUUCCUGGACCGACACUGACGCUGAGGCGCGAAAGCUAGGGGAGCAAACGGG